ACGAACGCUGGCGGCAUGCCUAACACAUGCAAGUCGAACGAGACCUUCGGGUCUAGUGGCGCACGGGUGCGUAACGCGUGGGAACCUGCCCUUAGGUUCGGAAUAACUCCCCGAAAGGGGUGCUAAUACCGGAUAAUGUCUUCGGACCAAAGAUUUAUCGACUUUGGAUGGGCCCGCGUUGGAUUAGCUAGUUGGUAGGGUAAAAGCCUACCAAGGCGACGAUCCAUAGCUGGUCUGAGAGGAUGAUCAGCCACACUGGGACUGAGACACGGCCCAGACUCCUACGGGAGGCAGCAGUGGGGAAUAUUGGACAAUGGGCGAAAGCCUGAUCCAGCAAUGCCGCGUGAGUGAUGAAGGCCUUAGGGUUGUAAAGCUCUUUUACCCGGGAUGAUAAUGACAGUACCGGGAGAAUAAGCUCCGGCUAACUCCGUG
Molecule: ribosomal RNA, 432 nt
Filed under: uncultured bacterium
Lineage: Bacteria
Description: partial 16S ribosomal RNA
Rfam family: Bacterial small subunit ribosomal RNA
Source: RNAcentral